This 504-nucleotide ribosomal RNA is filed under the name uncultured Actinomycetes bacterium. Its description in RNAcentral is "bacterial SSU rRNA". It matches the Rfam family "Bacterial small subunit ribosomal RNA", at positions 355 to 871 of the family's 1533-position model. Lineage: Bacteria; Bacillati; Actinomycetota; Actinomycetes. The record is from RNAcentral.
UGGGGAAUAUUGCACAAUGGGCGCAAGCCUGAUGCAGCAACGCCGCGUGCGGGAAGAAGGCCUUAGGGUUGUAAACCGCUUUCAGCAGGGAAGAAACUGACGGUACCUGCAGAAGAAGGAGCGGCCAACUACGUGUCCAGCAGCCGCGGUGACACGUAGGCUCCAAGCGUUGUCCGGAUUUAUUGGGCGUAAAGAGCUCGUAGGCGGUUUAGUGAGUCGGGUGUGAAAACUCUGGGCUUAACCCAGAGACGCCACCCGAUACUGCUAUGACUAGAGUACGGUAGGGGAGUGGGGAAUUCCUGGUGUAGCGGUGAAGUGCGCAGAUAUCAGGAGGAACACCAGUGGCGAAGGCGCCACUCUGGGCCGAAACUGACGCUGAGGAGCGAAAGCGUGGGUAGCAAACAGGAUUAGAUACCCUGGUAGUCCACGCCGUAAACGUUGGGCACUAGGUGUGGGUCUCGAACCAACGAGAUCCGCGCCGUCGCUAACGCAUUAAGUGCCCCG